GACGAACGCUGGCGGCGUGCUUAACACAUGCAAGUCGAACGUGAUUUUUGUGGAAAGCCCUUCGGGGACGGAAGCGAAAUGAAAGUGGCGAACGGGUGAGUAACACGUGAGCAGCCUACCUUACACAGGGGGAUAGCCGUUGGAAACGACGAUUAAUACCGCAUGAGACCACAAAGCCACAUGGCUUAGGGGUAAAAGAUUUAUCGGUGUAAGAUGGGCUCGCGUCUGAUUAGCUAGUUGGAAGGGUAAAGGCCUACCAAGGCAACGAUCAGUAGCCGGUCUGAGAGGAUGAACGGCCACAUUGGAACUGAGACACGGUCCAAACUCCUACGGGAGGCAGCAGUGGGGAAUAUUGCACAAUGGGGGGAACCCUGAUGCAGCGACGCCGCGUGAGCGAAGAAGGUUUUCGAAUCGUAAAGCUCUGUCCUAUGAGAAGAUAAUGACGGUAUCAUAGGAGGAAGCCCCGGCUAAAUACGUGCCAGCAGCCGCGGUAAUACGUAUGGGGCGAGCGUUGUCCGGAAUUAUUGGGCGUAAAGGGUACGUAGGCGGCCUAUUAAGUCAGGUGUGAAAGCGUGAGGCUUAACCUCAUUAAGCACUUGAAACUGGAAGGCUUGAGUGAAGGAGAGGAAAGUGGAAUUCCUAGUGUAGCGGUGAAAUGCGUAGAUAUUAGGAGGAAUACCGGUGGCGAAGGCGACUUUCUGGACUUUUACUGACGCUCAGGUACGAAAGCGUGGGGAGCAAACAGG
RNAcentral lists this ribosomal RNA (746 nucleotides) under uncultured Parvimonas sp. Its description in RNAcentral is "bacterial SSU rRNA". It matches the Rfam family "Bacterial small subunit ribosomal RNA", at positions 28 to 776 of the family's 1533-position model. The record is from RNAcentral. Lineage: Bacteria; Bacillati; Bacillota; Tissierellia; Tissierellales; Peptoniphilaceae.